This 442-nucleotide ribosomal RNA is filed under the name uncultured bacterium. RNAcentral's name for it is "partial 16S ribosomal RNA". It matches the Rfam family "Bacterial small subunit ribosomal RNA", at positions 338 to 795 of the family's 1533-position model. The record is from RNAcentral.
CCUACGGGAUGCAGCAGUAGGGAAUCUUUCACAAUGGGCGAAAGCCUGAUGGAGCAACGCCGCGUGCAGGAUGAAGGCCUUCGGGUUGUAAACUGCUUUUAUAAGCGAGAAAUAUGAUGGUAACUUAUGAAUAAGGAUCGGCUAACUACGUGCCAGCAGCCGCGGUCAUACGUAGGAUCCGAGCAUUAUCCGGAGUGACUGGGUGUAAAGAGUUGCGUAGGUGGCAUAAUAAGUAGCUAGUGAAAUCUGGUGGCUCAACCAUUCAGACUAUUAGCUAAACUGUUAAGCUCGAGACCGUUAGGGGUAACUGGAAUGUCUAGUGUAGGAGUGAAAUCCGUAGAUAUUAGAAGGAACACCAAUAGCGUAGGCAGGUUGCUGGGACGGUUCUGACACUAAGGCACGAAAGCGUAGGGAGCAAACGGGAUUAGAUACCCCGGUAGUC